This 253-nucleotide ribosomal RNA is filed under the name uncultured bacterium. RNAcentral's name for it is "partial 16S ribosomal RNA". It matches the Rfam family "Bacterial small subunit ribosomal RNA", at positions 524 to 776 of the family's 1533-position model. The record is from RNAcentral.
UACGAAGGGUGCUAGCGUUGUUCGGAAUUACUGGGCGUAAAGCGUGCGCAGGCGGCUUCUCAAGUCAGGGGUGAAAGCCCAGAGCUCAACUCUGGAACUGCCUUUGAGACUGAGAGGCUUGAGUACGGGAGAGGUGAGUGGAAUUCCCAGUGUAGAGGUGAAAUUCGUAGAUAUUGGGAAGAACACCGGUGGCGAAGGCGGCUCACUGGCCCGAAACUGACGCUCAUGCACGACAGCGUGGGGAUCAAACAGG